RNAcentral lists this long non-coding RNA (6454 nucleotides) under Nicotiana benthamiana. Its description in RNAcentral is "long non-coding RNA (NBEN_LNC021641)". The record is from RNAcentral. Lineage: Eukaryota; Viridiplantae; Streptophyta; Magnoliopsida; Solanales; Solanaceae.
UUCAGUAACCCUGAAGACCAACAUUAUCUUCCUCGUACCCCUGUCCCUCUCCGCCUCCACCAUUGUAUCUUCGCUGGAGCCGCCACCGUCAGUGAACGCCACACAUGCCAAUGACCCCCAAAUUAACACCACUAACCCUCCUUGCUCUCCUCUUCCCAUUCCCACUAUUGCCUUCUCUCGAAUCUCACCGGAAACCUUCGAAUCUUCGUUGGAAAAUUUUUCGGCCAAGACGCAACGUCUUCCAAAUCACCCCAGAUUUAUACCAGUGAAUCUCCUUUGUUCCCUAUUUCUAAUAACCCAAGAAUUUCUCCUCGAACUUGGCCGGAAUUCCUCGAAUUUCAGUUUGAAUUUUCUGGCCAAAAACCCUAGGCAUUCUGAAGUACUCCAAAUUGGUGCUACGUGAUCUUCGGUCUUGCCUCGUGACGAAUUAAAUGUUUGUAGCCGCCGAAUGCCAUUGAAGUUGGUCGAGUCUUAUACUAGUGAGUUCCUCAUAAUUUUUGUUUGGUUUUUUUUCUGUUUUUUCUUCUGUGUCAUUAUUCGACUCGGAUUCAGUUUUAUCUCUAGGGUUAAUAAUUGAAGAUUGUUCUUGUUGGCUCUCGAAUUUCUGUAACUGAUGAAUUUGGCAGUACCUAAGGAUAGUCUUGUUUAGGGUUUAAUUUAGUUUAGAUGAUUGGAUAAAUAUGGUUUAAAAAUAAUAGAAAUUAGUAAGUUCAAUUCUCGUUUAGUUAAUUAAUUAUUUUGCCUUGAUUUAGUUACUAAUAGUGGUUCGUUAACAUGAUUAAUUGUUCUGUAAUUGUUCAAAAUGGUCCAAUCUGAUCUUACUAAAUUUAUGAUGGUCAUUUGAUAGGUUGUUCUGAUUGUUGAUAAUAAUGGGGGAUUUGGGAGUCAGUUAGUUAGUGUGAAUUUAGGAUUUGAUUAACCAUAGUUAAAAGUUCAUCUAAGGUAGUUAGGAUAGUAAUUUCAAAAUAAGUUCAGGACAGUUGGGUAAUUGACAUUGGACUUGAAAGUUGUAGGUUAGAGUAGAAGGCCUUAGAAUCUGCUAGAAUAGGGUUUAAGCGUAGGUUUUCAGUAAUUGUAAGGUAUUGACUUGUAACACAAGUCAAGAGAUGGAGGUUUAAAUGAAAAAAGAAGAGGGACUGUGCUGCAAAGCUAAAAAUUUGUUACCCUCUUAGUUGUGUCGCAUCAUAUUUGCCUUAACCCACAAGUUUGGUAGCCUAAAAAUCCUUCCCCCCCCCCCCCCCCCCNNNNNNNNNNNNNNNNNNNNNNNNNNNNNNNNNNNNNNNNNNNNNNNNNNNNNNNNNNNNNNNNNNNNNNNNNNNNNNNNNNNNNNNNNNNNNNAAAAUCCUUCCCCCCCCCCCCUCCCCCAUAAAGUAUUCUCCAAGCUUCCAGCUCUGAAAUUAGCAUAUAAGAUCUGAAAUUCCUUUAGAUCUCAACUUUUAAAAAAAAUCAAAAACCUAAAUAAUGAACUUCGAAGCUAGGCAGUGAUUUUUAUCUCUUCUUCUGUUGAAACUGUUCUUUAACUUACUAAGUUUUUUCCUAGAUAUAAUCGAAUUCAAUUGAGCCUGUUUUGGAUUGCUAAAAGUUUUAAUUGGUGUUGGGGUCAUCUUUGGUCCAAUUUGGUGAAGUUUUGGUAGAUCCACUAUUUCUGUUUAGCUUUUGAAGCAUUUAUGAGCUGUUGAACUGUUCUGAACUGGAUUUAGUCCUUGCUAAGUGACUGUUGUUGUGCUACCUUCUUCUCCUAUUGAAAUGAUUCCCAAGUACUUAUCAUGCAACUCAAUCUUAUGUAUCUCUUCUACUGGAAAAUGAAAUGAAAAUUGGAAGAUUCUGUUAUGAUAUGUCGUUUUAGCUUUAUUACAUUUCAAGAAAUUUUAUGCUGUUUGGGUUUGCUGUAUGAUGUAUUUAAUCUGGAUAUAUAACUAGACUGGUUGAAUUGUGGAAUGUAAUCCAUAUUUAAUUAGCUUCAGAUUUAGUAUAGGUGUUACUUGCAUAGCAUAGUAAUAUUCUGUUUAGCUUAAUUCAAGUUUGUAUUUGAGCUGGAAUUGAUGAUUAGUCGUCAAAUAUGUAUAUGACAGUUGAUUCCUGUAGUUUAGUUCAUUAGGUUGCUAAACUCAGACUGUCAUAAAUUAUUAAGUUAGCUCAAUUAAUAAGUGAUUUUUUCAGUGUUAUUUUCAACUUUGACUUAAUCAGGGAAAUAUGAGGCUGGUUUGCUUUAAUUGAGAUAACAAUUUGAUUGUUGCAAGCAUAAAUAAUUGUAUGAAGUAGGAAUUAGCAUUAAGAAGGUUGGGACGUUUGGGUUUGCCUACAGGCAUAAUUCUAUGUACCUGCUUGGGCUCGGUCGUGUGGCCAUGUUCCUCAGCCACGCCUAGACACCAUGCAUUGGCUGAUUUUUCCUAGCAGAUUAAGCCCUUGAUCUUUUGGGACAGCAAUCUUUGAUUUUAAAUUAUAAAAUUAGUAAUGACCUUAUCAGAUCGUUUAUUCCAAGCUAAAUGGCAGGCAGCCCAGGUCCUAAUUUCACUAUUGUGUGCGUCUGGGCUUUUGGGCCUGAAGCUGGAAAAGGAAAGCUUGUGUUUCUACAACAAUUAUUAGUUAGUUUUUUUUGUAUUUGGUUAGAGACAAGUAAGUAGAAAAAGUAUAGAUGCCUUAGUAUUGACUUUAAAAUAAAAUCAGACGAGGAUCACCCAACGAAAAAACAAAAUAGCAGGGCCCUUAAUAAAUGGUCGUUAAAACUUAUUAGAAAUUGGGAGGUCCGUUUAGUGAACUUCACGGCCUUCCCCAAAAUAUUAUUACGUUAGAACCUUUAGGCAUGAUUUAAUUAAAUUACUUUCUUAAACUCGGGUGUGCGUUGAUGCAACCCAAAUUCAAAUCUCAACAAAGUCAAAAUGUGCUGACAACCACGGGCGCAUUGAUUGAGACGUGGCUCAAAACGCAUUUUCACGACAUCGUAAUUCUUAUAAAAUAAAGAUAAAAAAGAGGUUCACAAAAUAAGACGAGCCUCACCGAACAAAAUAAACAAAUGGGAGGCCCUCAAUAAAUGGUUGUUAAAAAUGAUUAGAAUUUGGGAGGGCCAUUUAGCGAACUUCACGGCACUUUCCAAAAAUAAUAUUACGUUAGAACCUUUAGGUGCGAUUAAAUAAAUUACUUCCUUAAAAUCGGGUGCGGAUUGAUGUGACCCAACAACGAUGUCGAAAUGUGCUGACCACCACGGGUGCAUUGAUUGUGACGUGGUUCGAAAUGUGUUUUCACGACGUCGCAAUUCAUUUAAAAUAAAUAAUGAUAAAAAACGGUUUACGAAUAAAAAGCACAUAUGCUAGCAUGUAUUAAAAUCAAAUAAAAUCAAAUGCAACAGUUAAUCGACCGUGCUAGAACCGCGGAACCCGGGAAUGCCUAACACCUUCUCCCAGGUUAAUAGAAUUCCUUACUCGGAUUUCUAGUUCGCAGACUGUAGAAAAGUCAUAUCUUUCCUCGAUUCGGGAUUCAACCGGUGACUUGGGACACCAUUUAUCUUCCAAGUUGCGACUCUGAAUAAUUAAUAACUAAAUCUUGUUCUGAUUUUCCUUUAAGUGAAAAAACUCCUUUACGCCCCUUGCGGGUGUGAGUGAAAAAGGAGGUGUAACACUGAGGCAGUUGAAGUUGUAAUUCCGGUUUCCAGGGUGAAACUUCUUCCACACAGUUUAUGGGAGUUGAAGUUCCCCUGACUCCUGCUUCCCUCGGUGAUUUUAAUAUUUCAGGCCCACUAGAAACCGCUUAUAUUGAUGCUCCCUCAAAAGUUGUUACCAUGCCUAUGGUUACCUCUGAAAGUGAGAUUGUAGCUUCAGCUUCUGAUAUUCCAACCCCUUCAGUAAACAGUUAAAUAGUCAAACUUUAUCGUUGUUGUUUUUUUAUUGAUUGGUGGUGUUAUCCCUUGAUAAUUUUAAGACAUUUUUUGGUGAAAUACCCAGUUACCAUAAUGGGGCAUCUGUAAAAAUAACUAUUUUGCUGACUAAGUUUUUCCUUAGUCUUUUAUAUUAAGAAGUUUUGUCGGUAAUUCUACAUAUUCUAUUCUUGCCUAUUUACUUACUUAGGACUUCUAGAAUAGCUUAGCAUUUUUGUUCUUUGAAAAUGCUUUAUGAUUCUUCUCAUGGAAUAUCAACAUGAGGUUUAUAAAAGAGGGCCCUUUUAUUUUAUCGACACUUAAUGAAGAAGACGUCUCAACUUCAUAGUGGUGUUAUAACAUGAUGAAAGAAAUAGGAAUACAUAUAUUUUGUAUGAAACAACUUUGACGGUUUUUAUUCAUGAACUUUAAAAAGUUUUUUUACUGUUACAUGUAUUAAAAUACAUCUAUAACUUUCUCUAAUUGAUUUUCUUGUAACAGAUAUUUACAUAAUAUAAAAACAAGGUUUUUCUUCAUAACCUGUUUCAGUACAUAGUCAUGACCCUAUCUUUAUAUAUUAGGACGGGUUGGAGAGGUGACUUUCUCGUGGGAAAAAAUGCCUUGUGUUUGUUGAACACGAUGAUGAAUGUUGAAGACUUCGUAACUUUUUCUCAAUACUUGUCUUUUUGUACCUAAAUUUUCUUUUAAAUCUUGCUCAAACUCGACCUACUUUAGUUCGAUAUUCGUAUAUGUUUUUCUGCACGUAUCCGUGUAUAACAUGUAGUCCGCCAAGUGUUUGAGCGGUGAAGUAUAAAGCCUCGAGCACUUGUUUGUUUCUUUCAAUUUUGUCCUUUUCCUGAAACAAAAAAUAUACGGGACUUAGAGGUGUGAUUAUAUAUGAAGACUGCACCUCGUGUGUAUUUCCAUCAGAUUAAUUGUAACCUUGGGCUCAAAAUUUUAGAAUAUUCCAUUUUGCUGUUCAGAUCGUGACUUAUCAUUUGGCACGAGUUAGGGUUUUUGCCUAGCAUCUAAAAUCGUUAGUAAAAUUUUAAUAAUUCAAAAGAAAGAUUCUAACAUGGUGAUACAUGACCAUGGGUACUUUCUCUGAAGUAAUAUCUCUUUAAAUGGACGGCUUCCAAUAUAAGGGUAAAACUUUGCCAUCCAUUGUCUCCAACUCGUAUGCUCCUUUUCCCGCAAUGUCAUGAACUUCGUAUGGUCCUUCCCACGUUGGACAUAGCUUUCCUGAAUUAGUAACCUUCGCAUAUUGGAAUACCUUUUUAAGUACGAAGUCCUCAAUUUUGAAAAAUCUUAGGCGUGCUUUCCUAUUGUAAUAUCGUUCAAUCACUUGCUUUUAUGUUGCCAUUCUUAUCAAUGCAGCUUCUCUUCUUCCUUCAAGCAAAUCAAGGUUGACACGCAUCUCUUCAUCAUUAGAUUCAUCUGUUUCUUGAACAUACCGUGUGUUCAGUUCUCCUAUUUCAACUGAAAUUAAAGCUUCCGCACCAUAAACCAUUGAAAACGGCAUUUCUCUCGUGCUUGUUUUUGUCGUUGUACGAUAAGCCAAUAAUACUCUAGGUAAUAUCUCAGGACAAUUGCCUUUUGAGUCUUGUAACAUUUUCUUCAAAUUAUUGAUGAUGACUUUAUUUGUGGAUUCUGCUUGCCCGUUAGCCACGGGAUGGUAUGGUGUAGAUGUUAUCCUUUUAAUUUACCAACUUUGAAGAAAUUAUGUGAUUUGAGCUCCUAUGAAUUGUGGUCCAUUGGCAAACACGUUCUCCGUUGGUGCUCCAACGCAACAUAUUAUAUCUCGCCAUAUGAAGUCUUUAACUUCCUUCUCUCGUACCUGUUUAAAUGCUCUUGCUUCAACCCAUUUAGUGAAAUAAUCUGUGAGUACAAGUAGGAACUAUACCUGGCCCUUUGCUUAUGCUAGUGGACCUACGAUAUCCAUUCUCCAUUUCAUAAAGGUCCACGGGGCUAUGACAUGAUGUAAUAACUCAUCCGGUCUAUGCAUAUUAUUGCUGUAUCUCUGACAUUUAUCACAUUUGGACACGAAAUUGUUUCUCUUCUUCCAUCUUGGGCCAAUAAUAACCUACUCGAAUCAAUGUUCUUACCAGUGACCUUCCCCCUGCGUGACUUCCGCAAUGUCCUUCAUGCACUUCCCUCAUCACAUAUUCCAUUUGAGAAGGUUUGUGACACUUUGUUAGUGGUCUACCAAACAUCUUCCGAUAAAGAUUUCCUUGAUAUAAACAAUAUCGAGCAGCUUUUUUGCAAAGCACGUGAGCCUUUUCUUUAUCAUUAGGCAUGGUUCCGUGCGGUAAAAAAUCAAUAAUUUUGUUUCUCCAAUCCUAUGCUAAAUGAUUGAAAUUUACCUUGUUCUUGUCAGGUUUGAGAACGGAAUGAAAUAAAUGUAUGACUGAAGCAUUUGCGUCAUUUGCUACGUCAGCUGCAGAUGCGAGAUUAGCUAAAGCGUUUUCCUCCACAUUCUCAUCUCUUGGAAUCUGUAUUACCUUCCAAAUUUGGAAUUGCUUUAUUAGUUCCCGUAUCUUUUUUAUAUAUUCUUGCAUUCGAGUUUCCCUAGCUGUAUAAGUCCCACAUUUGAUUAACCACGAG